CGAGGAGACCAUGCGGAGAGAGUAUCCGCAUCUAUUUGAGUCGACGAGCUAAGGUAUGCGUAAUUUCGCGGACGAAAUUAUUUUAAGGGGUGGAGAAUGUAAUGUAUCGAAAAUUCGAAAAAUAAAUAUCGAACUUUAGUCAAAUUGACCAAAGUGCGAGGAUGGUACACAUCGGAAAGUCCGAAGGUGUUAAAAAUAAUCAAAAGUACAUUGUAGGAGGUUUUCGAGAGCUAAAGAAUCAAAAAUCUGCAAACUGCAGUUUUUCUGCUCUCGGGGACCAGUCCCUGCGGGGAGAGACCGGUCCCCGAACGCGUGCAAAGUGAGAAAGCCGAAAAAUCGGCUAAGUCCGAGAAAACCAGCUCUCGGGAACCGGUCCCUGCGGGGAGAGACCGGUCCCCUAGAGACCAGUCCCUCUAGGGGAGAAACCGGUUGCGUCGCGCGUAGCCUUGGCUGCCCGCGGGGAGAGCUCUCUGGGACCGGUCCCAAGUCGGGGAGACCGGUCCCCGAGCCCGAAAUCUGCCCAGUUUGGAGCAGUUUAAUAAGAUAAAAGCUGAGGGGCCUAAUUGCAAUUAUACAACCCAUAGAGUGAAAUAGGAGGGGAUAUGAGAUAUUUCUCUCAUUCUCACCCUCUCACACUCUCUAUUCUUACUUUCUCUCUCUAGAAGACAAGAAGGAGAAGAAGAAGACAAAGAAGAGAAGAAAGGAAGGGAAAAGAAAGGCAAGGAAGGUGGAGAAGAAGCCAUUGCAGUGAAGCUAUCUCCUCUUCUUCCCCUUUGAAGCAAGCUUAGAGGUAAGCUUGAGCCCUAAUCAUGGUAGAACCCAAACUAGGGUUUGGAUUAAGCUUAGAAUUGGGUUUUAUAGAACUUUUUGAGCCUAUGAAGCUUUCUUUUGCUUCUUAUAGAGAUCAACACCAUGAGUGGUGUGUGUGUGAUGAAGCUUAGAGGUGAGCUUCACCCCUCUCAUGGUAGAAUUCAAACUAGGGUUUGGAUUGAACUAAGGAUGGUUUUAAUGGACUUCCUAGAGUAGAAUGAAGCUUCUUUUGCUUCCCAAUGAGAUCAAACCCUAGGUUUGAUAUAUGUUAUGAGCUAGGGCACCCAAAUUGGGACUUUUGCUUGCGAGGGUUUCAAAGUGCAAUUGACCCUCUAGAAACCUAAUUGGGGGUGUUUCCGACGCGUUGGUGCGCUCGGAUUAACGUUACGAAAAGUCUAUAAAAAGUUAUGGGCAAAAUGGCCUAAGUUGGUAUCGUUUUGCAGCAGGUGAAGAACGAGGAGUCUAAAAAUCCCAAGAAAAUCGUCGGAGCACCUUUGAGAACCUACGAGGUGGGUGGUGCUAUCCAAUCUCGUUGAACUUCCUUCUAUGCCUAAUGUGUCAUUCAAUUGAGCAUAUGUUAUAUACAUUGUUGCAUGCAUUGUAGGGUAAAUGUGAUGAGAGUAAUGUGCUGUUGCAUAUUGUGAGUACAAUUUGCCUAAUGAGAUGCUUGAGAACUCCUAUGAAUGUUUAACCCUAUGUAUGCAUGAGAUAAAAUGUGAGCACCCAAGUGAGGCAAAAGAACAGAGUGACACAAUGAGACAUAGAUCGAGUGGCAUUCGAUAAAGUAAAGUAAAGUGACACUAGAGUUAGUGCGAGGCAAUGAAUCAAUGUGAUGUAAAGAGUAAUGACAAUGACUAAAAUAAAUGUAAUGUGGGGUGUAACGAAUAUGCAAAAAGUAAAGAACUAUGAUUGCUAGAGUAGCAACAUAAAGUGAUGAAAAGAACACUAGAGUUAGUGUAAAGUCAAGAUUGAACAUACAAUCCUUUGAGUUAAGGAUUCGAUCAUACUUGCUAUGAGUUCUGUGCUCGAGGGCGGUCGCUCCCCCUCGGGCGAUGCGCUCCAGAGUUUUUGCAAGACGGGUUGGAGUAAACCCUAGGACGGUCUUAGCGGGAGGAAGCUGAGGGCCCGCGAUGAUGGACUUAAUGUGAAGCAAGUUAAUGUGGCGAAACCCCCGGGUUAGCCGUGAGAUUAAAGAAUAAAGAAUAAAGAACAAAGAACAAGGAAAAAAGAGUAAAGAUAAAGAACAAAAAACUUGCAUAAUCUGCAUGAGUUUUAUAUUGAGCAUACUUUUUGCUUUAUUGUUCAGGCAUAUUAGCAUCAUGUUAUAGAUUAGUUACUAUAUUCAGCUUAUCCUUUCUAUUAUGCCUAGUUAGUCCUAGUGGGAAAGUCGGUGAUGUUCGGGCCGAACCCACUGGGAACUUUGUUGUAGUUCUCACCCCACUAUUCCACAGAGCCCGGACCGAGCGAGCCGGCGAGUGACUGCGGUAAAGGUAUUGCACCAUAGUUAGAGGCCACCAGGGAUGGGUUAUUACAUUUUGUUAAUAGUUUACCCUUUUAUCAUCUUUUGAAUUUGAUGAUUUAAGAUAUUGAUGUAUAAAGCAAAGAAAGAAAAGAAUGUAAUGUUUAUUUGGAGCAAAUGUGAUGUAAAAAGAAAUGAUGCAAGCAAUGUAAAGAAUCAUGAAUAUACAACUUGGAUGAAAUGGAUGCAUGUAUGUGAUCAAAAGUUGAAUCAUGGUACAAAUUGAAUGUUAGUUGCCUUUCUUUCACUCAUGGCUAUUGCUUACCCUCGAGUAAGCCGUUUGUGUAUGUUUUCGCUAGUGCACUUCUUAUUUGAAAAUGUACAGGUGAUGAGCCUUGGGUGGACAGGGGAAACUCUGUCCGUUCGGCGUCUAUUUGACGUGCUCGGGCCGGCCGAAAUUGGUAUCGGUCCAGGGGCGUGACAGUACCGGUACAGGGUGAUGGUUGUACCGGUACAGGAGGCCGUGUACCGGUACACAGGCAGCUUCUCAACCAACCCGAGGCUCGGGUUUGGAAUUUUCGUGGGGUGUGUACCGGUACGCGAUCCCGCGUAUCGGUACGCAGUGCAGUACGCAGACUGCUUGAACUGCAGAAGUGUUUUUGCGAUUGUAGCUUCUCUAUAUUAGUACCCCACGCCCCCUGGUGUUCCUUGAGCUUGGAACCAGUGGAGAGGAAGGUAAGGGAGCUCUCUAUUCUCCCACUUUGAUUUCCUUUGUUUUUGUUGGGAUUUUUCGAGGUUUAAUCCUUUCUUUUUGCUCCUUUUUGCUACUUGGUGCUAUUUCCACCAUGGGAGAAUGCUUGAGGCUUGGAGUUAAGCUUGUUGAAGGAGAGAUCUUCAACCCUAGUUGACUUCUAGCCUUCUAUAAAGGUUAGUAACAUGUUUCUCUCAUUAGAUUCAUGUUUUACUUGAUUGUUGUUUAGAAACCCUAGAAAUGAGGAUUUGGGGCUUGAUUUGGGGUUUUUGACCUAGGGCUUUUGGAGCUCGAUUGAUCGGUUUAGAACCUUCCUCUAGGUUGGAUUGGAAGGGUUCUAGCUUCCAUUUGGAGCUUGAGAGGGAUUUUCUACACUUAGGUGAGAUAUUACCCUUUUCUUGAGUUGGUUAAUGUUUAACCUAUUCGUUGUUUGAAACGUUUGUGUAUCGCUCCUACUUUAACCUUUAGGGGGCUAGGAAGCUUGUGGGCACCUUCGUCGGCGCAAACGAAGGCCGUGUGGAACUCUCGGUCGGUUUGGCCACACCAAAAUGGGAUAAAUCAUCCCUAUAAUGGUUUUACUUUUCGUAAAAUGAAAAUGCAUGCAUAUUCUUACUAGAUAGAAUAUUUGAGAAUUUUAGAAUGCUUAAUAUGUGCAUGUUACGUAUAAAGUACAUUGGACCUCUAUGUAGUAGAGAACUGUUCAUAUUUGGAACCUUACAUAUGGUUAGCAUUCUUACAUUUGAUUGAGAUCACGUUGCAUGUAGUGCAUAUGACAUGUAGAUUACACUUUUGGAAUUAGAACGCAUGCUUGGCAUGGUUGGACAUGUGGUCAUUGAGUGACAUAGGCUAGAGUGUAUGUAAAUUGUAAGCUAAUGUCAUAAAGCAGCAUUUGGCUUGGACUAGAGAUGGAAAUUAUAAGCUAAUGUCAUAAAGCGGCAUUAGGCUUUGUAAUAUACCGAAAAUUCGAAAAAUAAAUGUCGAACUUUAGUCAAAUUGACCAAAGUGCGAGGAUGGGACACUUCGGAAGGUCCGAAGGUGUUAAAAUGAUCAAAAGUGCGUUGUGGAAGGUUUUCGAGAGCUAAAGAAUCAAAUUCUGCAAAACUGCAGAUUUUUAGCUCUCGGGAACCGGUCUCUGGUGGGAGAGACCGGUUCCCGAACGUGCCAACAAGUAAAAGCUGAGCGCCGAUUUCCGGCGGGAAAGCUACAAAGUCUACCAAUACCCGUUUGCAAAUGGGAAGAUAUAGCGAUGGACUUCGUUACUGGUUUGCCUCGAUCGCAAGGCGGACACGAUGCGAUAUGGGUAAUAGUGGAUCGAUUGACAAAGUCGGCACACUUCUUGCCGAUACAUACUACGUGGUCGAGAGACAAGCUAGCUCAAGUAUAUCUCGACGAGGUUGUGAGAUUUCAUGGGGUUCCAGUGUCGAUCGUGUCGGAUCGCGACCCCAGGUUCACAUCCCACUUUUGGAAGAGUUUGCAAGACGCGCUAGGCACACGGCUCGACUUCAGUACAGCGUUUCAUCCUCAAAGUGAUGGACAGUCGGAGCGAACGAUACAAAUCCUUGAGGAUUUACUUCGAGCGUGUGUGCUAGAUUAUAAAGGAGGAUGGCAUGAUUUCUUGCCUAUGGCGGAGUUCGCCUACAAUAACAGCUACCAAGAAAGUAUAGCGAUGGCGCCUUUUGAGGCACUAUAUGGUCGAAAGUGUCGUUCUCCUAUCCAUUGGAGCGACGUGGGCGAGAGAGCGGCUCUUGGCCCGGAUGUGGUGCGGGAGGCGGAAGAGAAAGUUCGCCUUGCCCGUCAACGGUUGGCGAUGGCGCAAUCUCGGCAAAAGAGUUAUGCCGACAAGAGAAGAAAGGAUUUAGAGUUCGCGGUUGGAGACCGUGUAUUCUUAAGAGUAUCGCCAAUGCGAGGAGUUAAACGAUUUGGGGUCCGUGGGAAGCUAAGUCCCCGUUAUGUCGGACCGUUUGAGAUAUUGGAGCGUGUGGGUGCGGUGGCGUACAAGCUCGCACUACCACCGAGACUCGCGGGAGUUCACAAUGUGUUUCAUGUGUCGAAUCUUCGAAAGUAUAUCCGAAACGCGGCACAUGUAUUGGAAUACGAGCCCGUGGAGCUACGUGAGGAUAUGUCCUAUGAGGAGUACCCCGUGUGCAUCCUCGAUAAAGAGGUUAAGAAGUUGCGAAGUCGCAAAAUCCCAUAUGUGAAAGUCCAAUGGAGCAACCACGCGGCGCGAGAAGCCACUUGGGAGCUCGAGGAAACCAUGCGGAGAGAGUAUCCGCAUCUAUUCGAAUCGACGAGUUAAGGUAUGCGUAAUUUCGCGGACGAAAUUAUUUUAAGGGGUGGAGAAUGUAAUAUACCGAAAAUUCGGAAAAUAAAUAUCGAACUUUAGUCAAAUUGACCAAAGUGCGAGGACGGUACACUUCGGAAAGUCCGAAGGUGUUAAAAUGAUCGAAAGUGAGUUGUGGAAGGUUUUCGAGAGCUAAAGAAUCAAAUUCUGCAAAACUGCAGAUUUUCAGCUCUCGGGGACCGGUCCCUAAAGGGAGAGACCGGUCCCCGAACACGUAUGAAAUGAGACAGCCGAAAAAUCGGCUAAGUCCUGGAAGGAUAGCUCUC
This 5627-nucleotide long non-coding RNA is filed under the name Ananas comosus (pineapple). RNAcentral describes it as "long non-coding RNA (ACOM_LNC037039)". The record is from RNAcentral. Lineage: Eukaryota; Viridiplantae; Streptophyta; Magnoliopsida; Poales; Bromeliaceae.